UCCUACGGGGGGCAGCAGUAGGGAAUUUUCGUCAAUGGGCGCAAGCCUGAACGAGCAAUGCCGCGUGAACGAGGAAGGUCUUCGGAUCGUAAAGUUCUGUUGAAGGGGAAAAAGAGCGGAGAGAGGAAAUGGUCUCCGAUUGAUAUUACCCUUCGAGGAAGUCACGGCUAACUACGUGCCAGCAGCCGCGGUAAUAGGUAGGUGGCGAGCGUUAUCCGGAAUGAUUGGGCGUAAAGGGUGCGUAGGCGGCCUGCUAAGUCUGGAGUGAAAGGUACCGGCUCAACCGGUACAGGCUCUGGAAACUG
This 305-nucleotide ribosomal RNA is filed under the name uncultured bacterium. RNAcentral describes it as "bacterial SSU rRNA". It matches the Rfam family "Bacterial small subunit ribosomal RNA", at positions 337 to 635 of the family's 1533-position model. The record is from RNAcentral.